GGUGGCUCAGUAGUAGAGUGUUUGCCUUGCAUGCAUGAGGCCCUGGGUUCAAUUCCUCAGCACCA
This is a non-coding RNA of Dipodomys ordii (Ord's kangaroo rat), 65 nucleotides long. The record is from Rfam. Lineage: Eukaryota; Metazoa; Chordata; Mammalia; Rodentia; Heteromyidae.